AGAAAAGUUUAUGCAUUGUAAGGUGUAUGUUGUCCGUUUCUAAACAAUUUUUCAAAAUGCCUCUCCUCCAACAGUUUUGGUCCAAUUUCAAUAAGACUUGGUACUGUAGACUAUAAUUUUUCCAUGGUUACUAAAAAUAGAAAUUCCUGAGAAAUUCUUUUAAAAUGCUACUCCUUGUACAGUUUUGAUCUAAUUUCAAUAAGACUUAGUACACAAGUAGACUACACUCAGAAAAGUAAGAAACAUUUAUCAUUUUUUGAUUUUGAUAAAUGAUGUUGCCAUGGUUACUAAAAAUAGAAAUUUUUGAAAUUCUUUCAAAAUGCUACUCUUUCAUCAGUUUUGGUCCGAUAUCAAUAAGACAUGGUACACAAUACACACCAAUAGAGCUACGGUCUUGUCAGAGACUUGUGGUUCAGUUAAGUUUGAGUGAAAAAAAAAAAUCUGCCUUCCUGUUUUAUGGUAGCAUAUUGCUUUAACAUUAUUGGCUUUUACUAAGAAGGAAGUGGUGUUUUAGCUUUUAAAUCAUGUGUAAUUACCAAAACAAUUAUUGCUUACUGUUACUGUAUUGAGAAAAAAAAUCAUGUGCAUAAUUAUUUGUGGUUGUACAUAUGGAAUAAUGUAUUGUUGUGUAGACUUUAUUUGCUUUUUCUUUCUUUUCUUUUUUUUUUUUUUGGUGUAGGAGUUUCAUUAAUUAUCGUGAUUAUGUGUCUAAAAGUGUUUAUUUACCAUGUAAUGAAACUAAGUUUUGCAUAUGAAUACUACAUAACUCUUACACUGUCAAGAGUGUGUUUUACACAUUUACCUGUAUAUAUCAGAGCAAUCAGCAAUAAUUGUAAGGAAUACCAAAGACCCAAUAUUUAAAAUGAAAUUUCCACCACUUGUAAUGUUUCACACAAUUUUGAAUUUACUCUCAAGUGUUAUUGUGAUCAAAAUUUUGCUUGGAGGAAUCUAUAUUCAUAAGGUGCUUGUUUGAUUAUUCCAUAUUGAUUUGUCUGGUGUUAUCAAAUGCAGAAUAAAUAUCAAUUUAA
Long non-coding RNA from Saccostrea echinata, 1028 nucleotides. RefSeq lists it as uncharacterized. Lineage: Eukaryota; Metazoa; Mollusca; Bivalvia; Ostreida; Ostreidae. The transcript has 2 exons. The record is from RefSeq and is a predicted model, not a curated record.